Molecule: non-coding RNA, 1910 nt
Organism: Ciona intestinalis (vase tunicate)
Lineage: Eukaryota; Metazoa; Chordata; Ascidiacea; Phlebobranchia; Cionidae
Source: RefSeq, a predicted model, not a curated record
AACCCGAAUCAACCGUUGUUUACUUAUUAACCAAAUACAGAAUUUAAAUAUCAACGAGUUGGGAAGUUUUAUCCAAGUAUGACGUAACUUAGAAAGGAGAACUUUAGAUUUAUUUUAACAUUUACAUGAGGAACUGUUAUAGUUGGUCAAUAAGUUCUAGAUGUUAGAGUAAACUUCCUUUAAAUCUGUGCACUGUGUGUGGUUGGUUGGUAGUAAGGUGUUAUGCUGGUAAUACAUGGAAGAUUUUGUCGUACGCUGCAAGGUUUAUAGGUUUGGCGCUCACUCCAUGUAUGUUUGACUCAAUGGGUUAUUACGUUUCAGUAGUUUUUUUCAGGGAUUCGUUCAAAUUAUUUAUUUGGCAAAGCCAAAAGGCAAACAGUUUAAACGGUGGGAAUAUUUUGCUCGAAGGGUGAUUUACAUAAGCUUCUUCGUUCUGACGUAUGUGGGAUUCUCUUUUUCGCUGUGUUUGAUGACGUCACGGUGACGUCAAUAUCCCAUUUAUUUAACGGAGCUUGACCUCUACGUGGGCCGUCUACUUUCUCACCUAGGGUAGAGCAAGAGGAUCCUCUCUAGUGGAUGAAGUGGGAAUCGAUCAAGUACCGACCGAAACAACAAUAAUAAUAACCAUGAUAUGGUGUUAAUGUAUAUGACGGUAUUUCGUUCGUUUAUAUUUUUUAUUUUUUUGAUAGUACAUGCUACCUGGUAUGUCUAUUACCCCAACGCCCAGGGUGCUACCAUCUAAACCCCACUGAGGUAGUUUAUGUACAGCUAUUAUCUAGAACCCCUUUAUUCAUUUAAUAUUUUAUUAACACCGAGGCAACCUAUACGCUGUAAUGCAAACGGGUGUAGAUAUUUCUUUGUUUGUUCUUUUUACACCGAGACGAACUAUUCUAAUACAUCUCAUUGCCUGAGUCUAACCCUGCAACACUGAACCAAGGCAUGCCUGCAACUUACGGCAACCGUGCAAGCAUGAACGUUUAAAAGCAAGGAAGUUGACACCUGUGUGUCGGCUAAGAACACAACUCAUUCAUGCGUGUCCACCCGGUCACUAAUCAUUGGCAACCGCAUGUUUGCUUAGAUAAUGGCCUCGACUAUGACGUCACAUUAUCUCAUGUUUGCUAACAACCGCCUUUGUGGUAAAAGGAAAUUCCCAGGUUUUUUCACCGGAGCGAUAAAAUCGUAAAAUUGAUUUAAAUUUUUAGUUUAAAAUUGCGGUUUUGGUCGUUUUGUUUUGCGUGUUAUUUACUAAUAUGACCCUGCGUGUGCGUGAAUGUUGUUUUUGGUAAACAGACUUGUAAGAGCCGAAGUUCUAACGAGCAUAGCGGUGGGAUUACGCUAAACCUGUGGCUUAAAUGUUCGGCUGUCAAUCAAACAGGGUGGUCGAACAUUACGUUGCACGAAUCUUGAAAUUAAUGAAAUUUCCGAUUAAAAGGUUCCUUUAGAUAUAAAAUUCCUUCUUACAGGUUCAAUCUUACAUCUGUUAAUUUUUUAGGGUCAUGUUUUUAUUAAUUUAUUUCGUGUGAUAACGAAGUCGUUAAAACUGAUAACUUGAUAAGAAAAAGCGUAAACAACAACAGAAUAUUUUAUCGAGAAUCACAUAAACCUGGGGCGGUUAAUACAGGGGGGGUCCGGGCAAAUUUAUUUUAAGAUUUAAUUUAUCUCUGUUUUAAUGUAAAUUUGUCAAAACUUAAUGCGGUAAAUUUAGUUGAAGUAAAACUUAUUCAUGCACAACGAAGAAUCUCAUUGUCCACUUCUCCACGGUUCAGUGGUUUUAUUUGAACAACACUUAACGACGUCAUGGUGAUGAAAUUGUUAUGCGUGAGAACGAGUUUUCUGUGGAUAUUUAACUCCAUGUGGGUGGGAACUUGGGAGACUUAUCCAUGGUUGCCACUCCCAUGCCCACAGUCGAG